ACUCCUACGGGAGGCAGCAGUUAGGAAUAUUCGGCAAUGGGGAAAGCCCAUCGACGAGCCGACACUGCGUGAAGGAGGAAGGCCUUAGGGAGCUUGGUAAAACUUCUGAACGAGAGACGAUAAUGACGGUAUCUCGGUAAUAGCACCGGCUAACUCCGUGCCAGCAGCCGCGGUAAUACGGAGGGUGCGAGCGUUAUCCGGGAAUCACUGGGCGUAAAGGGCGCGUAGGCGGUUACAUAAGUCCGAUGUUAAAGCGUAGGGCUCAACCCUAUAAAGGCGUUGGAUACUGUGAAACUAGACUUCUGGAGAGGUAAGUGGAAUUACCAGAGUAGCGGUGAAAUGCGUAGAUACUGGUAGGAACACCCAUAGCGAAGGCAGCUUACUGGACAGAGAGUGACGCUGAGGCGCGAAAGUGUGGGGAGCAAACCGGAUUAGAUACCCUGGUAGGUCAGU
This 453-nucleotide ribosomal RNA is filed under the name uncultured bacterium. RNAcentral's name for it is "bacterial SSU rRNA". It matches the Rfam family "Bacterial small subunit ribosomal RNA", at positions 335 to 799 of the family's 1533-position model. The record is from RNAcentral.